RNAcentral lists this ribosomal RNA (253 nucleotides) under uncultured bacterium. Its description in RNAcentral is "partial 16S ribosomal RNA". It matches the Rfam family "Bacterial small subunit ribosomal RNA", at positions 524 to 776 of the family's 1533-position model. The record is from RNAcentral.
UACGGGGGGGGCAAGCGUUGUUCGGAAUUACUGGGCGUAAAGGGCUCGUAGGCGGCCAACUAAGUCAGACGUGAAAUCCCUCGGCUUAACCGGGGAACUGCGUCUGAUACUGGAUGGCUAGAGGUUGGGAGAGGGAUGCGGAAUUCCAGGUGUAGCGGUGAAAUGCGUAGAUAUCUGGAGGAACACCGGUGGCGAAGGCGGCAUCCUGGACCGGCAUUGACGCUGAGGAGCGAAAGCCAGGGGAGCAAACGGG